Molecule: ribosomal RNA, 187 nt
Filed under: uncultured Bacillus sp.
Lineage: Bacteria; Bacillati; Bacillota; Bacilli; Caryophanales; Bacillaceae
Description: partial 16S ribosomal RNA
Rfam family: Bacterial small subunit ribosomal RNA
Source: RNAcentral
GGUGUGAAUCUUCCGCAAUGGACGAAAGUCUGACGGAGCAACGCCGCGUGAACGAUGAAGGCCUUCGGGUCGUAAAGUUCUGUUGUUAGGGAAGAACAAGUACCAGAGUAACUGCUGGUACCUUGACGGUACCUAACCAGAAAGCCACGGCUAACUACGUGCCAGCAGCCGCGGUAAAUAAAAAAAC